GAUGAACGCUGGCGGCGUGCCUAAUACAUGCAAGUCGAGCGAACAGACGAGGAGCUUGCUCCUCUGACGUUAGCGGCGGACGUGUGAGUAACACGUGGAUAACCUACCUAUAAGACUGGGAUAACUUCGGGAAACCGGAGCUAAUACCGUAUAAUAUAUUUAACCGCAUGGUUCAAUAGUGAAUGACGGUUUUUCUGUCACUUAUAGAUGGUUCCGCGCCGCAUUAGCUAGUUGGUAAGGUAACGGCUUACCAAGGCAACGAUUCGUAGCCGACCUGAGCGGGUGAACGGCCACACUGGAACUGAGACACGGAACAGACUCCUACGGGAGGGAGCAGUAGGGAAUAUUCCGCAAUGGGCGAAAGAAUGACGGAGCAACGCCGCGUGAGAGAUGAAGGUCUUCGGAUCGUAAAACUCUGUUAUUAGGGAAGAACAAAUGUGUAAGUAAAUAUGCACGUAAUGACGGUACCUAAUCAGAAAGCAACGGCUAACUACGUG
RNAcentral lists this ribosomal RNA (497 nucleotides) under uncultured bacterium. RNAcentral's name for it is "partial 16S ribosomal RNA". It matches the Rfam family "Bacterial small subunit ribosomal RNA", at positions 28 to 507 of the family's 1533-position model. The record is from RNAcentral.